AUAGCAGUGAUUAAACUGAAGAGUUUGAUCCUGGCUCAGAUUGAACGCUGGCGGAAUGCUUUACACAUGCAAGUCGAACGGCAGCACGGG
RNAcentral lists this ribosomal RNA (90 nucleotides) under Hydrogenophilales bacterium 32-62-9. RNAcentral's name for it is "partial 16S ribosomal RNA". The stretch from base 13 to 90 matches the Rfam family "Bacterial small subunit ribosomal RNA", at positions 1 to 78 of the family's 1533-position model. The record is from RNAcentral. Lineage: Bacteria; Pseudomonadati; Pseudomonadota; Hydrogenophilia; Hydrogenophilales.